UGUUUAUCUGUUUAACUAUGGCAGGAGAAAGUAAUUUAAAGUCAACCGCAUAAAAGUUUUAUAAAAUAAUUAGUUUAAGUAUCAUUUGUGCUUUAAGAUUAGCGGUUAGUAUUUUAUUUAAGCGUAAGCUUUAUUAAGGAUUUUAAAAUUAAGAGGGGAUUAGGCACAGUGCCAGCAUCCGCGGUUAUUCUGUUUUCUCUGCUUUUUUGUGGUUACGUUUAAAAAUAAUUAUAAAUAAAAUUAGGUGAAAUUUUUUUAUUAUAGUUACUAAUAUUUUAUACGUUAAUAAGUGGUUAGGUUAUGAAAGGGAUUAGAUACCCCAUUAAUUAAUCAUUUAAUUUAACUUAGUUUUAUAACUAAAUUAGUUUGGCAGUGAGUUACUCCUAUCAGGGGAAGGUGUGUUAUAAAGGACGAUCCGCCUAUUAAUUCACCUUGGUUAUGUUGGUGUAUAUCUGGUUUAAUAUUAUUGCUUAGUUGCUUGAAUUUGUGUAUUAACUUUUAAGCUAAGUCUAUGUGCUGCAUGCCAAGGUUUUCAUGCGUUACAUUAAUAAGGUUUACUUUGUAAUAAGGUAAUAUUUAGGACUUGAUAGUAAUACUAAAUUAAUUUGUUGGUGUGAAGUUGGUUUAGCUCAGGUACACACCGCCCGUCACCCUCGAUUAUUUUGAGGUAAGUCGUAACAAGGUAGCCCCAGAUGAAUCUGGGGCUAAUUAUUAGUCUUAUCAUUUAAUUUAAAACUAAUAAUA
This 744-nucleotide ribosomal RNA is filed under the name Diphyllobothrium schistochilos. Its description in RNAcentral is "12S ribosomal RNA". Lineage: Eukaryota; Metazoa; Platyhelminthes; Cestoda; Diphyllobothriidea; Diphyllobothriidae. The record is from RNAcentral.